AACUGGAAAAUACGAAAUUGAGAAGGAAAUUGAAGCUGAAAAGCAAAUAGACACAUUCCAAGAACAACCACAAAGGUUAAUACUCAAAUUUAAGCGAAGACCAACUAAAUCCCAGCCAGAGGUUCAGAAAGUAUUAAGUGAAGGAGAUGGGAAGGCAUGUACAACUUCUGAGACAGAAGUUCAAAAACCAUUGAGUGAAGGAGAUAAGAAAUCUUCGUCAAAAUCACAGCCUGAAGUUCAAAAAACAUCAAG
Spinacia oleracea (spinach) is the source of this 252-nucleotide long non-coding RNA. RefSeq lists it as uncharacterized. Lineage: Eukaryota; Viridiplantae; Streptophyta; Magnoliopsida; Caryophyllales; Amaranthaceae. The record is from RefSeq and is a predicted model, not a curated record. The transcript has 4 exons.